Long non-coding RNA from Pyrus x bretschneideri (Chinese white pear), 711 nucleotides. RefSeq lists it as uncharacterized. The transcript has 2 exons. The record is from RefSeq and is a predicted model, not a curated record. Lineage: Eukaryota; Viridiplantae; Streptophyta; Magnoliopsida; Rosales; Rosaceae.
AACUGAUCAACAUUGAUGGCUCUACUAGUCUUUAGACCAUUAAAGCAUACGGGUGUAAGUUAUCGUUUUGUUUUGGGAAGUCAAGAUUGAUGGCUCUGCUAGUCUUUUGACUUUUAAAGGAUGUGGGUGAUAUUUUGUUAAAAUAUCUUACAUCGACAGUGUAUCUGAGAAGUGGAUCUCCUUGACCCCAUACGAUGAUGGUGGGUCGCUUGGCCCUGCGUGUAUGGUGAGUUCUCUUGUUUCCACGUAGUUGUUGAUGUGUGGAUCUUCCACUUGUAACUCACUAAUUAGGUCCCACGUAAGGGAGCGUCUAGAAAUAUCCCACAUCAACUAUAUCUCUAAGAAAAGAAGAGUUAAAAUAUCCUAACCAUACUUCAACUAAUAGCGAAUUAUUUUGUGAUAAAACUCCACACCUGACAGAUUGUGCUGAUGGUAUUACCAAGUCAGGACAAUAUUAAUGUUAUAAGAAAUAAGCCUAUGACCAGUCUCUAAUUCGACACAUUUUACCAACCGUGGAUGGAUAUUACGCUGUAACUUGUUCACAAAAGAUGGAAGAAUUCCAUGCCUGUCAACCUCUUUUAGAUAUUGUUUGAAAUGUGGUAGGCAAUUAGAUAUUGUUUGAAAUGUGGUAGGCAAGGGACCAUCCAAAUUGCUUGUCUCAUCAACAUAUAGAUUAUUUGCGCUUUGAAUGGGAAAGAAAUAUUAUGGGGA